This 531-nucleotide ribosomal RNA is filed under the name uncultured bacterium. RNAcentral describes it as "bacterial SSU rRNA". It matches the Rfam family "Bacterial small subunit ribosomal RNA", at positions 8 to 521 of the family's 1533-position model. The record is from RNAcentral.
AGAGUUUGAUCCUGGCUCAGGAUAAACGCUGGCGGCGCACAUAAGACAUGCAAGUCGAACGGAAGUCGUUAUACAAGGAGAGAAGAUUUAUCGGAUUGAAUUAUAUAACAAUGGCUUUAGUGGCGGACUGGUGAGUAACGCGUAAGAAAUCUACCUAUCAGAGGGGAACAACAAUGAGAAAUCAUUGCUAAUACCGCAUAUGCCAUAAACAUCGCAUGAUGAAAGUGGGAAAGGAGCAAUCCGCUGAUAGAUGAUCUUGCGUCUGAUUAGUUAGUUGGUGGGGUAAUGGCCUACCAAGACGACGAUCAGUAGCCGGACUGAGAGGUUGAACGGCCACAUUGGGACUGAGAUACGGCCCAGACUCCUACGGGAGGCAGCAGUCGGGAAUAUUGCGCAAUGGAGGAAACUCUGACGCAGUGACGCCGCGUGCAGGAAGAAGGUUUUCGGAUUGUAAACUGCUUUAGACAGGGGAAGAGAAAGGACAGUACCUGUAGAAUAAGCUCCGGCUAACUACGUGCCAGCAGCCGCGGU